GCGGAGGAAAAGAAACCAACAGGGAUUGCCCUAGUAACGGCGAGUGAAGCGGCAACAGCUCAAAUUUGAAAUCUGGCUCUUUCAGAGUCCGAGUUGUAAUUUGCAGAGGGCGCUUUGGCGUUGGCAGCGGUCCAAGUUCUUUGGAACAGGACGUCACAGAGGGUGAGAAUCCCGUACGUGGUCGCUAGCCAUCACCGUGUAAAGCCCCUUCGACGAGUCGAGUUGUUUGGGAAUGCAGCUCUAAAUGGGAGGUAAAUUUCUUCUAAAGCUAAAUACUGGCCAGAGACCGAUAGCGCACAAGUAGAGUGAUCGAAAGAUGAAAAGCACUUUGGAAAGAGAGUCAAAUAGCACGUGAAAUUGUUGAAAGGGAAGCGCUUGCAGCCAGACUUGCCUGUAGUUGCUUACCUAGACUUUUGUCUGGGGCACUCUUCUGCAGGCAGGCCAGCAUCAGUUUGGGCGGUUGGAUAAAGGUCUCUGUCACGUACCUCCCUUCGGGGAGGCCUUAUAGGGGAGACGUAAUGCAACCAGCCUGGACUGAGGUCCGCGCAUCUGCUAGGAUGCUGGCGUAAUGGCUGUAAGCGGCCCGUCUUGAAACACGGACCAAGGAGUCUAACAUCUAUGCGAGUGUUUGGGUGUCAAGCCCAUACGCGUAAUGAAAGUGAACGGAGGUGGGAACCUUAGGGUGCACCAUCGACCGAUCCUGAUGUCUUCGGAUGGAUUUGAGUAAGAGCAUGGCUGUUGGGACCCGAAAGAUGGUGAACUAUGCUUGAAUAGGGUGAAGCCAGAGGAAACUCUGGUGGAGGCUCGCAGCGGUUCUGACGUGCAAAUCGAUCGUCAAAUUUGGGCAUAGGGGCGAAAGACUAAUCGAACUAUCUAGUAGCUGGUUCCUG
Molecule: small RNA, 890 nt
Filed under: Edenia sp. 1 NV-2015
Lineage: Eukaryota; Fungi; Ascomycota; Dothideomycetes; Pleosporales; Pleosporaceae
Description: eukaryotic LSU rRNA
Rfam family: Eukaryotic large subunit ribosomal RNA
Source: RNAcentral